UCUAAUUUUCAUCAUGAUUGAAAACAAAUUGAUUUUGCUUCUGAGGAGGAGCAAAUCCCUAACCCCCAAAUCUUCUGAAUCGAAGUUUUGCAAAUGGAAAGCAUAUUCCACUCCUUCAACCGAAUCACAGUCAAGCUUUUACUAUUCGAGAAUCAUUCCUUCCGUCAAAACCUCAAUCACAGGAAGCUUCAUUGGCUGUGGUUUGAGGUCAUUGCUUCAAAAUAAUGUUAAGAACUUCCACAUUCGCUCAUUCCGGAAUUUCUCAACUUCCACAUCCGCAAAUGCAAAAGGAACAGAAGGAUUGAAACUUCUGGUCACUGCUGGGUCCAAUGCUCAGGAAGUAGUUGGUAUUUGGCUUUUUGUAUCUGCUGCUUGGGUGUACAGCAUGGUGGUUCUCGGUGGCGUCACACGGCUGGCUAAGUCUGGCCUUCCAAUGACAGACUGGAAAUUCACUGGCCGUCUUCCUUUCUCUAAUGACGAUUGGUUGGCAGAAUUUGAAAAAUACAAGCAAUCCCAUGAAUACAAACGAGUAAAUAAAGAGAUGACUAUUGAUGAUUUUAGGUUAAUGUAUUAUAUGGAGUAUGCUCAUGUUUUGUGGGGAAGGUCAUUGGCCGUUAUGUUUGGAGUACCUUUUUCAUAUUUUCUUUUAAAAGGAUAUAUUACACUCCGCCUCGGACUUAGGCUCUCUGGACUAUUUGCUCUUUGUGCUGGGCAGGGACUAAUAGGGCGGUGGACAGCCAAGUGUUCAGAGGAACCCAAGUCUGAGUUUGCUGGACCAAGAGUAAGUUUUUACCACCUAGCAGCUCAUUCGGUUUCAACCUUUGCUGUUUACUCCGGGCUCUUUUGGACGGCUCUUUCUGUCGCCAUGCCUGAAUCCCCUGCGGAAUCAAUAGCCUGGGUUCAGCAGGCAGCAAAGGUCAAGCGUUUUGUUCUCCCUGUAAGUUUUAUUGUUGGGAUCACUGCUAUCUCUGGAGCAUUUGUGGCUGAAAGUGGCGGUGCCUUUAGUGCUUCUUCACGUACCAGCGAGGGAUGGGUUUCAGAUGAUGUAUUUGUCUUGAAGACUCAGCUUGUCCACCAAGUACUCGCUGCUGCAUCUUUACUUGCCAUUGGUGGCCUGUGGUGGUCGACGAGAACACCUGAUAUACCUCCUGCAUUACGGCCUUUAAUAGGAAGCACUAUUGGCAUUGCUGCAGUUCAGGUUAGUUUGGGGACAGCUCCUCUCUUGUCGACUGCACCGCCCUCACUGAGCACUCUUCAUCAGGCGGGCGUGUUGACCCUCUUAACCCUCGCAAUAUAUCUGAACCACAUCGUGAGACGACCUUCUCCUCAACUCCUCAAAACUCUUUCUUCUCUACGACGACAUGAAAAAAUACCCUAUAAUUGUUGCCAAUAUAUUAGACCCCAACGUCGUCCGCCACCACUGCUUCAGAGGCAAAAAUGAGAAGCAAACAAAGGCUGUUUCUACUACUUGUGCUCAUGCCUCUCCUUUUCCUUUUCAUUCAUCAACUAGGAGGAGUUGAAAAAACGGUGGCCCACGCCGGCAGUGUUGGCGGAGGCAGUCCGGUGGUUUCCGGAGGCUCACACGUCCCUAGUGGUGGUGGCGUGACCCCGGUGUAUGCAGCAGCCGGUGCAGGAAACAACCACCACCCUCACCGUGGCGGAGGAAACUGCGACAGAGGCGGGGCGGCGCCGGAGGCCUUGGCCGUAAUUACAUUUGCAUGCUUUCUAUUUUGUUUUAAACAAUGUUUUUAGAGAUUAUGAUCGUAACAAUUAAGCAAUAAAAAUGGUGUGUGUGUGUGUUUAUUGUACAUCAUGAUCUGACCGUGUAUCAUUUUGUGUAUAAUAUACCAUGAUGUAUUUUACUACGGUGUCUUCAAUCUGCAAAAUACAAAUACAUUAAUGUUAAUGUGAA
This is an RNA transcript of Salvia splendens (bonfire salvia), 1912 nucleotides long. It is a transcript of the gene named cytochrome c oxidase assembly protein COX15, with no coding region annotated. The record is from RefSeq and is a predicted model, not a curated record. Lineage: Eukaryota; Viridiplantae; Streptophyta; Magnoliopsida; Lamiales; Lamiaceae. The transcript is spliced from 10 exons.